RNAcentral lists this ribosomal RNA (484 nucleotides) under uncultured bacterium. RNAcentral's name for it is "partial 16S ribosomal RNA". It matches the Rfam family "Bacterial small subunit ribosomal RNA", at positions 30 to 507 of the family's 1533-position model. The record is from RNAcentral.
AUUGAACGCUGGCGGCAGGCCUAACACAUGCCAGUCGAGCGGAUGAAGGGAGCUUGCUCCUGGAUUCAGCGGCGGACGGGUGAGUAAUGCCUAGGAAUCUGCCUGGUAGUGGGGGAUAACGUCCGGAAACGGGCGCUAAUACCGCAUACGUCCUGAGGGAGAAAGUGGGGGAUCUUCGGACCUCACGCUAUCAGAUGAGCCUAGGUCGAAUUAGCUAGUUGGUGGGGUAAAGGCCUACCAAGGCGACGAUCCGUAACUGGUCUGAGAGGAUGAUCAGUCACACUGGAACUGAGACACGGUCCAGACUCCUACGGGAGGCAGCAGUGGGGAAUAUUGGACAAUGGGCGAAAGCCUGAUCCAGCCAUGCCGCGUGUGUGAAGAAGGUCUUCGGAUUGUAAAGCACUUUAAGUUGGGAGGAAGGGCAGUAAGUUAAUACCUUGCUGUUUUGACGUUACCAACAGAAUAAGCACCGGCUAACUUCGUG